This 484-nucleotide ribosomal RNA is filed under the name uncultured bacterium. RNAcentral's name for it is "partial 16S ribosomal RNA". It matches the Rfam family "Bacterial small subunit ribosomal RNA", at positions 30 to 507 of the family's 1533-position model. The record is from RNAcentral.
AUUGAACGCUGGCGGCAGGCCUAACACAUGCAAGUCGAGCGGAUGAAGGGAGCUUGCUCCUGGAUUCAGCGGCGGACGGGUGAGUAAUGCCUAGGAAUCUGCCUGGUAGUGGGGGAUAACGUCCGGAAACGGGCGCUAAUACCGCAUACGUCCUGAGGGAGAAAGUGGGGGAUCUUCGGACCUCACGCUAUCAGAUGAGCCUAGGUCGGAUUAGCUAGUUGGUGGGGUAAAGGCCUACCAAGGCGACGAUCCGUAACUGGUCUGAGAGGAUGAUCAGGCACACUGGAACUGAGACACGGUCCAGACUCCUACGGGAGGCAGCAGUGGGGAAUAUUGGACAAUGGGCGAAAGCCUGAUCCAGCCAUGCCGCGUGUGUGAAGAAGGUCUUCGGAUUGUAAAGCACUUUAAGUUGGGAGGAAGGGCAGUAAGUUAAUACCUUGCUGUUUUGACGGUACCAACAGAAUAAGCACCGGCUAACUUCGUG